This 1509-nucleotide ribosomal RNA is filed under the name Helicobacter pylori. RNAcentral's name for it is "bacterial SSU rRNA". It matches the Rfam family "Bacterial small subunit ribosomal RNA". Lineage: Bacteria; Pseudomonadati; Campylobacterota; Epsilonproteobacteria; Campylobacterales; Helicobacteraceae. The record is from RNAcentral.
UUUAUGGAGAGUUUGAUCCUGGCUCAGAGUGAACGCUGGCGGCGUGCCUAAUACAUGCAAGUCGAACGAUGAAGCUUCUAGCUUGCUAGAGUGCUGAUUAGUGGCGCACGGGUGAGUAACGCAUAGGUCAUGUGCCUCUUAGUUUGGGAUAGCCAUUGGAAACGAUGAUUAAUACCAGAUACUCCCUACGGGGGAAAGAUUUAUCGCUAAGAGAUCAGCCUAUGUCCUAUCAGCUUGUUGGUAAGGUAAUGGCUUACCAAGGCUAUGACGGGUAUCCGGCCUGAGAGGGUGAACGGACACACUGGAACUGAGACACGGUCCAGACUCCUACGGGAGGCAGCAGUAGGGAAUAUUGCUCAAUGGGGGAAACCCUGAAGCAGCAACGCCGCGUGGAGGAUGAAGGUUUUAGGAUUGUAAACUCCUUUUGUUAGAGAAGAUAAUGACGGUAUCUAACGAAUAAGCACCGGCUAACUCCGUGCCAGCAGCCGCGGUAAUACGGAGGGUGCAAGCGUUACUCGGAAUCACUGGGCGUAAAGAGCGCGUAGGCGGGAUAGUCAGUCAGGUGUGAAAUCCUAUGGCUUAACCAUAGAACUGCAUUUGAAACUACUAUUCUAGAGUGUGGGAGAGGUAGGUGGAAUUCUUGGUGUAGGGGUAAAAUCCGUAGAGAUCAAGAGGAAUACUCAUUGCGAAGGCGACCUGCUGGAACAUUACUGACGCUGAUUGCGCGAAAGCGUGGGGAGCAAACAGGAUUAGAUACCCUGGUAGUCCACGCCCUAAACGAUGGAUGCUAGUUGUUGGAGGGCUUAGUCUCUCCAGUAAUGCAGCUAACGCAUUAAGCAUCCCGCCUGGGGAGUACGGUCGCAAGAUUAAAACUCAAAGGAAUAGACGGGGACCCGCACAAGCGGUGGAGCAUGUGGUUUAAUUCGAAGAUACACGAAGAACCUUACCUAGGCUUGACAUUGAGAGAAUCCGCUAGAAAUAGUGGAGUGUCUAGCUUGCUAGACCUUGAAAACAGGUGCUGCACGGCUGUCGUCAGCUCGUGUCGUGAGAUGUUGGGUUAAGUCCCGCAACGAGCGCAACCCCCUUUCUUAGUUGCUAACAGGUCAUGCUGAGAACUCUAAGGAUACUGCCUCCGUAAGGAGGAGGAAGGUGGGGACGACGUCAAGUCAUCAUGGCCCUUACGCCUAGGGCUACACACGUGCUACAAUGGGGUGCACAAAGAGAAGCAAUACUGCGAAGUGGAGCCAAUCUUCAAAACAUCUCUCAGUUCGGAUUGUAGGCUGCAACUCGCCUGCAUGAAGCUGGAAUCGCUAGUAAUCGCAAAUCAGCCAUGUUGCGGUGAAUACGUUCCCGGGUCUUGUACUCACCGCCCGUCACACCAUGGGAGUUGUGUUUGCCUUAAGUCAGGAUGCUAAAUUGGCUACUGCCCACGGCACACACAGCGACUGGGGUGAAGUCGUAACAAGGUAACCGUAGGUGAACCUGCGGUUGGAUCACCUCCUUUCUAGA